GGCUGUAGCAGUCAUGUCUGGCAGGGGAAAGGGUGGAAAAGGCUUAGGCAAAGGGGGCGCUAAGCGCCACCGCAAGGUCCUCAGAGACAACAUUCAGGGCAUCACCAAGCUGCCAUUCGGCGUCUAGCUCGGCGUGGGGCGUGGCGCGUUAAGCGGAUCUCUGGCCUCAUUUACGAGGAGGACCCGCGGUGUGCUGAAGGUGUUCCUGGAGAACGUGAUUCGGGACGCAGUCACCUACACCGAGCACGCCAAGCGCAAGACCGUCACAGCAUGGAUGUGGUGUACGCGCUCAAGCGCCAGGGGCGCACACUGUACGGCUUCGGAGGCUAGGCCGCCGCUCCAGCUUUGCACGUUUCGAUCCCAAAGGCCCUUUUUAGGGCCGACCACUUGCUCAUCUGAGGAGCUGGACACUUGACUGCAUAAAGUGCAACAGUAACGAUGUUGGAAGGUAACUCUGGCAGUGGGGCGGCAGUCGGAUCUGAAGUUAACGGAAAGCUACUGUGGCCCAUGGCGCUCACAGCCGUAAAGACUUAAGUCGUUGACCGAAAGCGGCUUUUUCACUUACUUGGGCUUUUUUUUUUUUUUUUUUUAGCCUUUAUCGAUAUGAAAGGUUGAAUGUGCUCUAGGUUUGAGCACUCCUUUCUCGGCUUGCUCUUCUGGAGCAGUAUAUAGGCACACCUAGAGGGGCACGUCAGUCUUUGCGAUCACCAGAUCUGGUUCAGAGAAAUAGGCACUGGCAAUUUACACGUGCCUUGCUAGGUAAUCUCACUAUAUUUGCUCAGGCAAAGUGGGAGAAUCAGCCUUAGAUUUUCGUUCUAGAGAUGCCGGCUUUCCCACAUGAUCGGCUUAGAUUUCGCGAUGGACUGUUCUGGGCUUCAUUUUACCCUCUGCAUAACAAGCGGGUGGACUAGAUGCCUUAGUAAGGGUCCAUGUUAUAUGGUAUCUUCAGCCACGCACUCAGCUCAAUCUUAGCACAGGUAAAAAAUGAGUUUCUAGCAAGCUAUCUGCCCAGU
Rhinopithecus roxellana (golden snub-nosed monkey) is the source of this 1013-nucleotide RNA transcript. It is a transcript of the gene named histone H4-like, with no coding region annotated. The record is from RefSeq and is a predicted model, not a curated record. Lineage: Eukaryota; Metazoa; Chordata; Mammalia; Primates; Cercopithecidae. The transcript has a single exon.